Rattus norvegicus (Norway rat) is the source of this 1500-nucleotide RNA transcript. It is a transcript of the gene named RNA transcription, translation and transport factor, pseudogene 2, with no coding region annotated. The transcript is spliced from 5 exons. Lineage: Eukaryota; Metazoa; Chordata; Mammalia; Rodentia; Muridae. The record is from RefSeq and is marked validated.
UUCAGAAACUAUUCAUUCUACUGGCUUUAGGACAACAAUCCAAUAUCUAAGUACUAAGGGUUUGAGCACAGGAUUAGCAGAAGUUUAUCUGAAGGAUCUUGACAAAAUUGUGUAGAAUUGAUCACACUAGACAAAAAGCCUAAGGAGAAAACUAGUCAGCCAUAGAUUUACAGGUCUGAUUGGAGACAGACAGGAAUAGUCAAAAUUUCAAACUAUACUUGAAAAACCAAGAAUUGACUCAAAAAGCUAUGAUCUCCAGGGAUUAUACUGUCCAAUCCCUUUGUCAUGUUUGUUCUCAUCAGGCAACCGACAAAGGAAUUCUCAAAAGAGAAAACCAACAUCUCUGAAUUGACCAGUUAGAAAUACAAUUAAUUACACAUAGUGUUAGUCUCCUAAUUAAUGCUAGAAGGAUUUGAUAUUUCAACUAAUCCACAGUUACUGACGUUUUAUUCAGUUUUCAUUAUUGUAUUAGCUAUUUCUCUGUUACUGUAAUAGAACAUGAGGGGCAAUGACAAAAGUUAUGGAAAGAAGGGUUUACCGUUCCAGAAGGUUGAAAGUUCACCAUGGCAAGGAGACAAGGCAUCAGCAAGAUGUGACACAUUUUCCCCCCACUCCCAUAACCCCUUCCCCUGCUUCUAUGAGGAUGCUUCACUUCCUACUCCUCCCUCUCACCCACUCACUUCCUCCCACCCACUCCCAACUCACCAACCUGCGUUCCCCUACACUGGUGAAAAGGAGCCUUCACAGGACCAAGGGCUUCUCUUCCAAUUGAUGCCAGACAGUGCCAUCCUCUGCUACACGGGCAGCUGGAGCCGUGGCAUACUCCAUGUGCACUCUUUGGUUGGUGGUUUAGUCCCUGAGAACUCUGGAAGGGGUCUGAUCCAUCUUCAAGAUGACUACUUGGUAAUGCUUAAGGCAAUUCGCAUUUUGGUUCGGGAACGUCAAACACAGGAUGUUGUUGCUAAAGCAAAUCAAACAAAAGAGGGCUUACCUGUCGCUUUAGACAAACAUAUUCUUGGCUUUGACACAGGUGAUGCAGUUCUUAAUGAAGCUGCUCGGAUCCUGCGGAUGCUACACAUGGAAGAGCUCAGAGAGCUACAGGUGAAAAUUAAUGAAGCCACUGCCAUUCAGGCAAUCACUGCUGAGCCAAAGACAGACCAGAGACAGGGAAAAGUUGUAAGAUUCUCAGCCCUAGGGAGAAAUCUUAGAUCCUUAAAUCCUACUUUGAAUAAGCUUCCGGGUAUAUUAUUAAGCAAAAGAGAGGCGUCACGGAUACAUCCGAACCGUAGUGAUGUCCUUGAGGAAGAGCAGAUGCAUGGAGAACCCCAAGGAGAGUUAAAAGUUCUGUUAGCUUUCAGUGCAAAUGAAGCAGAACUACAGGGACAAGUCGAAAAUGUGCAUUGGUGUCUUAGCCAGCCAACCUCCCAAGGAAUUCUGGAGCGGUAUGAGUAUGGUGACAUAGAAGAAAAAGGCAAAAUCAUGGGAUACAGGCAGCAGUAG